CAUCGAAACUUUAAUAAUAGUAAUAAUAAUAAAAAUAACAAUAAUAAUAAUAAUAAUAAUCUUCCAAAAAUGCAAUAAUAUUAUCAACAUCGACAUUAUUAUGAUACUCAAGCCAAAAAAAAAGGGCGGUUGACUCCCUCUCAGAAAAAAAAUAAACGUAAAUUAUAAAUAAAAGUCGUAAAUAGUCUUUUUUUACAGAAACACCAAAAUAUAGAUAAAAAAACGAAUAUAUAUGUACAAAUAAUGGAAUGAAAAGGAAGGAAUGAUUAGAAGAAGAAUGGUGGAAUGCAGGAAAUAUAUGUUAAAAAAAAAAUUCUAAUUAUUUUCCAUUUCUUUUCUCUCUCUCUCAAUUACUCGUCUUUGAAUAUUGUGGAAUGUCCCAAACAGACACACACACACACAUACACAUAGGCCUAUAUCACAAGCUCUCCCUUCUUUCCUACAAGCUCUCCCUUCCUUCAUUACAAAUUAUCUCUUCCUUUAUUACAAGCUUUCUCUUCCUUCCUAAGUCCAUAUUACAAGCUCUCCCUUCCUUCCUACAAGCUCUCCCUUCCUUCAUUACAAGUUAUCUCUUCUUUUAUUACAAGCUUUCUCUUCCUUCCUAAGUCCAUAUUGCAAGCUCUCCUUUCCUUCCUACAAGCUCUCCCUUCCUUCAUUACAAGUUAUCUCUUCCUUUAUUACAAGCUUUCUCUUCCUUCCUAAGUCUAUAUUACAAGCUCUUCCAUUCCUUCCUACAAGCUCUCCCUUCCUUCCUACAAGCUCUCCCUUCCUUCAGUACAACCUCUCUCUUCCUUCCCAUCUGCAUAAGUCUUUAUUACAAGCUCUCCCUUCCAUCCAAAGUCCACAUUACAAUCUCUCCCUUCCUUCCUACAAGCUCUCCCUUCCUUCAUUACAAGUUCUCCCUUCCUUCAGUACAAGCUCUCUCUUCCUUCCUAUGUGCAUAAGUCUUUAUUACAAGCUCUUCCUUCCUAAGUCCUUAUUACAAGCUGUCCCUUCCUUCUUAAGCCCUAAGUCCAUAUUACAAGCUCUCCCUUCCUUUCUAAGCCCUCAGGCCCAUAUCACAAGCUAUCCCUUCCUUCCUAAAUCAUUCCCUUGAGGUCAUUUCCAACAGAUGGUUAGCCAGAUUCUGUUCCCUAAAUAAUUAGUUAGUUAGUUAAUUUGUCAGCUCUCAAAAUAAUACUAAACACUUCUAAAAUUCAUUGUAUAGUGUUCUGUGUUCAUGCAUAGGUUAAGAAAUUUGAGGAAAGCUCUGGAAAUUAUAUGAGAAAUCUGUGAAAGCGAGUUCUUGGUGAUGUAUUGAAAACCUGACCACUGUGGAAUGUAUAGUAUGGUAUAGUCUGAUUUGGGUGGCUACAAAGACCCUGUGUUGGACUAUAUUGAUUUCACAUACUAAGACUUAUAGCUUUUAGUGAGGAAGGGAGAGCUUGGACCAUGACUGUUAGACACACACACACACAGACAAAGUGAGUAAGUGUAUUAAAUGGAAAAGGAAUAAGAAGAGAGAUAAAGGAAGGAGAUUUAUAUGAAGGAAUGAAGGAAUGAGAGAAAGAGAAGUGUAAGGAGCUUGAUUUUCUGAAGUAUUUUUUUUUUUAGAAGAUAAACGAAAUAUGAGGAAGGAAAAAGGAGGGAAAUAAAUGAUAAACGAAGUGUAAUAGAACAGGAAAAGAUCCAGAAGAAGGAAGAAAAUAAAGGAAAGAGUUACAAUAAUGAUUUAAAAAGAAAGGAAGUAGAAAGGGAAAUGAUUUUAGAGAAACAGAACAAAGAGGAAAAGAGAAGAGGAAGAGAGGAAGGAAAGAAUAGAACAGAGGAGAAAGGAAUGAAGGAAAGAUUGAAGGACAAAUAGACAGAAAUACAAAGAAAGGCAGAAAGAGAGAAAGGAAUAACAGAAGAACUAAAUAAAGGAACAGAGGAAGGUAAGAGAAAGAUGUAAUGGAAGGAAGGAAAGUUGCAAUGAAAGAGAUGAAUAUAGACAAGAAGCAGUGAUGAAUAAUAGAUAAAAGAGAAUAAAAAUGUAAGAAAAAGAUAUAGAAAAGAAUGGGAAGUAAAAGAAAGAAGGAAAGAGAACAGGAAUAGGGAAAAAAAGGCAUAAAUUUGGUAAACUAAUAUAGGAGUGUGAGAAAGGGAAGGAAACAAAAAUAAAAAGAAUAGAAGUGAGAGAAAAAUAAAAAAAACAGGAAUAGGAAGAAAUAAAUAGAAUGAGAAAAAGAAAGAGAUAGAAAAAAAUGGAGUUCUCGAGGAAAUGAAAGAAAAAUGUAAAAAAUGUAAAAAAAAAAACAGGAAUAGGAAAAAAUAAAUAGAGUGAGAAAAAGAAAGAGAGAUAGAAAAAAAUGGAGUUCUCGAGGAAAUGAAAGAAAAAUGUAAAAAAUGUAAAAAAAAAAAACAGGAAUAGGAAAAAAUAAAUAGAAUGAGAAAAAGAAAGAGAUAGAAAAAAUGGAGUUCUCGAGGAAAUGAAAGAAAAAUGUAAAAAUGUAAAAAAAAAACAGGAAUAGGAAAAAAUAAAUAAAAUGAAAGAAAGAGAGAUAGAAAAAAUGGAGUUGUCAAGGACGGAGUAUUUGUGGACAGGAGUGCGUGAUCGAGUGAGUUUGAGUUUUGUGAAAGUCUUCAUCGGGCGACAUUUUCGGAGGAGGAAAAAAAGAAAAAAAAAAAGGGCGUCAAUGAGAUAGCAUAAAUAUAUAAGCUUAGAUAGAUCGUUAAGUCUCUCAUCCAUUGUUAUAAGACCUUCGUUUGUUUGUUAGUAAGUUUGUUUUGUUUUGAUAGGGAGUGCAAUACCUUAUUUUUGUGCAUGUUUUGCUAAUUUGUACUCGCCAUCCAAAUUUGUACUCAUUAUUAUUAUUAUUAUUAUUAUUAUUAUUAUUAUUAUUAAUAUUAUUUAGACAUUCGAUAACUUUCCUCUAAUUAAUAUCUCAGUCAAGUAUUUUCUCUUCAUUAAGCAUUAUUGUUUUAUUAUUAUUAUUAUUAUUAUUGUUAUCAUUAUUAUUAUUAUUACUAUAGUACAAAAUAACAAUAGCUUCAAUUAACAAUGCUAUAAUUUUCUUUUCUUUUAAAAACUGAGAAAAAAAUAAUAGAUAAAAUUAAAUAAUGGAAAAAAAUGAAAUAAAAUAAAAUUACCUGCUUCUGUGAUUUAAUAAAGCUUGAAUUUCCCAUUUAAUUUUAUUUAUUUAUUUAUUUAUCAUUUAUUAUGCGCGUACUAAUUGGUCUGACGAGUACAAACUGGCAACUCUAUAAAUAAAUCCAAUGUGUUAAGUAAAAGUCUAGAUUCACACCCACAAAUAUAUAUAUAUAAAAAAAACUCUUCCGUGUAUUGUGUAACCUUGGACGUUCAUGCACACACACACACAAACACACACACACACACACACACACACACACACAUACAUUAAGGUUACAAUACCAUUAUAUCUGAUACGUUUUUCACCUUAAGAAUCUAAUUGGUGGCAUCGGAAGAAGAUGAAGUAGACGAAGAAGAAGAUCGUGUGAUAUAUAUAUAUAUAAAUGUAUUGAUUUUCUCAUUUUUAAACUUAUCAAUCUUUUAUUUAAACAUAUAUAUAGCAGCAGCAGCAGUGGUAAUAGUAGUAAUAGUAGCAGUAUAAUAUCAACAAUAAUAAUAAUAAGAAUGAUCUAUAAUAUUACACAAUACGUACGACUGCUCUCUCUCUCUUCAGAAUAAAAAUAAAUGAAAAAAAAAUUGGUUUACAUCAGUCUCCCCUUGCUUAUUUAAAUUCUCCAAUACUCUUAGACUCUCAAAAUCAUCAAUAUAUCUCUAUGUGUAUAUGGCGAAGACAAACGUGUUGAGCAAAUGUAGCUAUAAUAAUUAUGGUCACGGUGGGAGGAAUGCACGAAACCACACGAAAAAGGGUCAACUACGUACCAGCGCUUCUUCUACGAACUUUUGGAUAGGCUAAAAUGUGCCCUGGUUAACCUUUCUUUAUUCCUGACCUUUCUUUCUUUUACUGACCUUUCUUAUGUGUCAGUGCUUCUUCUAUGAACUUCUGGAUAGGCUAAAAUGUGCCCUGGUUAACCUUUCUUCAUUUUCCUUAUUCCUGACCUUUCUUUCUUCUUAUUGACCUUAUUUACGUACCAGCGCUUCUUCUAUGAACUUCUUGGAGAGGCUAAAAAUGUGCCCUCUUCAACCUGUCAGUAUUUUUCACAACCUCUCCCUGUAACAUUUUCCAACAUGGGUCUUAAUUUACUCUAUCCCUCUCUAUCUCUCUCUUACCUAACAGUCUUUUCAAUGGAGCCUUUCAAUUUAUCUUCUUUGAUUCAUUAUUUCUCUACUGAAAGGGCGUGAAAUAUGUGUUCUUAGCCUGCUCUUACAACCUAUUCUAAACACAUAUGCACUCAUGUCCCUUAUAUCUAAUCAUUUUUCCCUUAAGAGACAAGAUCGGGAAUUUAUGUCUGACUGUCCAUCCUGAAAUCCAUUACAUAUAACAAUAUCUCUCUUUAUCCCUUGUCCUCAUUAUCACAAGCUAUACCAAACACAUAUUCACACACAGCUCUUCUAUCUAAAACUUAUGUCUGACAGACCAUCCUGAAAUCCAUUACGUAAACACAUUUCUCUCUCUUUCCCUCUCUUACCUCUCUUUCAAUGUCCUAUAACCACUUUCUAACAUUGGUCUUUAAUCUGUUUGUCCCUAUUAAUAUAACAUUCCUUCUGAGACAAGAUCGGAAACGCCUGACUGACUGACCAUUCAGAAAUCCAUUACGUAAACACAUUUCUCUCUCUCCCUCUCUUACCUCUCUUUCAAUGUCCUAUAACCACUUUCUAACAUUGGUCUUUAAUCUGUUUGUCCCUAUUAAUAUAACAUUCCUUAUGAGACAAGAUCGGAAACGCCUGACUGACUGACCAUUCUGAAAUCCAUUACGUAAACACAUCAUCUCUCUCUCUCUCCCUCGUCCUCAUCAUCCGAGUGAAACCAUAAGAGAACUAAGAACGGCGACGGCUCCACCUGUGUUUACGCGACCUCACUAAUUACAGACUAAGUUGGCAACACUUGACGCCUAAGGAACAACGCGCUGCUCUAAGAUUAUUGCGUUUACACCGCUCGACGGAACGCUGAGCUGGCCAACUGAGGAGGAGGAGAAGGAGGAGGAGGAAGGGACCUAGGGCCGCAUUACAAGUCGAAUCCGAGAAGUUUCAGGUCCCUUCAAAGUUUGGUUUAGGGGCCACAUUACAAGUUGAAUCUUUGAAGUUUUGGGUCGCUCCAGAGUUAUCCCGAACUCUGCAGGGACACGAAACUUCACGGGUUUAACUUGUAAUAUGGCCCCUAGUGGUAACCUGACACCAGCUGGACCCAGACACGAAAGCCCCUGAGCCUGGCGGAGGAUGGAACGCGCUCGCUGGAAUCACAAAACAACAGGAACUGGAAACUAUGAUUACAUCGAAAGAAUAUUGUAUCAGAAAAGUCGUAUAUGGAAACAAGCAACUCUGGGCUUAUGGAACUGAAAAAUAUGAUUACGUCGACUGGAUAUUAUAGCGGAAAAGUCGUAUGAGGAAAUAAGCGACUCUAAACUUUGUGGUCAUUUAUACAAAGGCCCAGAAUUGCUUUACGAGAUGAGUUUUCUUAUUGAUGAAGGUGAAUUUUAAUGUCGUUUUUAAAAGAGUUGGCGCUUGUCGUUUUGUGAUUUCCAGAGAGCCUGUGAUGUAUGUGUGUGUGUGUGUGUGUGUGUGUGUUACUUGUAUCAUUUCUGGGUCUUUUUUGAGUUAAGUGAAGGGAAAAACUGGAAAAAACAACCUAUGUGCUGGGCUGAAGGGAAUGUGCUGACUGACUGGACCAAAAAUUACGAGGCCAAACCAUUCCUUCUUUAUGUGGGAAAUGAAACACUCUCUCUCUCUCUCUCUCUCUCUCUCUCUUUUUUUUUUUCCUUUGCUUCUCUUAUCCUCCAUUUUUUUCAUCAAUUUUCUUUUAUUAUAAGAAUUUUAGGACGUAAGUAGUCUGCAAGAGCUAGGUUACAUACUUGAUGAUGACCAUUCUUAAGAGUUCUGAUUGGCUGAACGCUUGGAGGAAAAGGUUCUGAUUGGCUGAUUGUUUUCUAUAGCUUCUUAUAGUUAUGAUUGGCUGAAUGCUAGGAGGAAAUGCUUCUGAUUGGCUUAGAGAAUGGGACAGUGUUUCUCAUAGCUUCUUAUAGUUAUGAUUGGCUGAAUGCUUGGUUCUGAUUGGCUUAGAGGAGAGGACAGGCCUUCUCAUAGCUUUCUAGAGUUAUGAUUGGCUGGGAGCUUACAGGAAACACUUCUGAUUGGAUGAUUGGCUUAGGCAGAGGACAGGGUUUCACUUCCCACAUAGCAAAGUCAGUAUAGCCAGAACUGUCAUGUGCUAAUCCUUAUGAGCUGUUAAUCUAGUGAGCAGUAAAGUAAGGGGUCAGGGAGGUGCCUCAAGUGUGCUAGAAAUACUCCUUCCUCUGAGUUAACAAGUGUAAAACAUUCUGUGUGUGUGUCUGUUGCUGUACUGGCUGCCCACGAUAACUUGACACAUGAGCCCCGGGUUGGUGUUUUCAGCUUCCACGCCUCACAUUGACUAUUUCCAAAAGCCUAAGAGGAGGUCAAUCAGGUCUUCAAGAGUGUUUUUUCAGGUUCAUGGUACAGAGGAAGGGUCAAACUACCACCAGGGUCACUAAACUAGCCCUGGAAAUGCCCCAAACUCCCAUGAAAGCCUUGUCGAAUGUGCGUUUCUUUAGGUUCGUCGUACAGAGGAAGGGUCAAACUACCACCAGGGUCACUAAACUAGCCCUGGAAAUGCCCCAAACUCCCAUGAAAGCCUUGUCGAAUGAGAGUUUCUUUAGGUUCAUGGUAGAGAGGCCUGUGGCUUUGUUGGUAGGCAUGCUAUCCACUACACCAAUGAGCUGCUGGGAAAGGUGAGUCUAUUGGUGGAGAGCUGUUGUGGGCGGGGCUUAUGUGUCAGGUUAGGGUGACCAGCGCACAAUAUAAUGACUAAGCUUCAGGCGCUAAUUAGGCAGCAGAAAGCAUCAUAACACCUAACACUACCAUAACAUUACGAGGGACAAAUAUAACGUCUCUAAAUAGAACCUAAAAACUACCUUGGUUCUGAGCCUUACGAGCAUCCUGUAGUAAGAUGCUGCCCGGACCCGAGAAACUGCUAAUGAUGACUAUGAUGGCUAGGUAAGUAUAGUAACGACUCACGUGGAUGGAGGAGGAAGGGUGAACCUGCUCUCGCUCUCUCUCUCGCUCUUUCUCUCUCAAUCACUUGUUCCACCGUCUGUCACUCCCUACGUACAGCGCAGCUCGAAAUAAAAUCGUAACCACACUGAAAUACCUAUAACUUAUCCUACUAAGAAUCUGCCAUGUCUAAGCCUCGACGUAACCACACAAAGGGGAAAUUAUCGCAACGUUUUAACUAUAGGAAUCGUUGUUGGCGUCGUCGGUGGCCCCAUACGGAGUGUCGGGGAUCGAGAUAGAGGACGUGUGACCGCUUGACUAGUAAAUGUCCUCCACUGAAGUGUACUCAACUCAUGUCAACUUCAAAACAAGCCCUUCUCCGUUUCCUAAUUAAAAUAUAUCAAUGGUCGUUCAUUUAGUAACCCACACUCCCUCUAUCUCAAUCUGCAAGGGACUGGUGAAGGCUGGGAGAGGUUAAAUCUUACUGGUGGAUGCUGGGAAAAGCUAAAGCUUAUUGGUGGAUGCUGACAAAGGUUAAAUCUUACUAAUGGAUGCUAGAAAGGGUUAAAUCUCAUUGGUGGAUGCUGGGAAAGGUUGAAAUCUUAUUGGUGGAUGCUGGGAUGCACUGAAUCUUACUGGUGGAUGCUGGGAAAGGUUAAAUUUUACUGGCUGACACUUGAAAAGGUUAACUCUCGUUGGUGACACUUGGGUUGAAAAGAGGAAGGACUUACUUAUCAACUUAACACAAGGAGAGUACAGUCGAGUGAAGGGCGAGACCUCAUCCAGUACUGUAAGAGUUUUGUCCAGCUUGGUAACCAUCCUAAAACUAUAUUAGCAGACUGUCAUGGCCGUGGAUUAAGUAUAGGCGAAAGAAAUUGUAUAAACGUAUCAAUUGUGGACGCCAGGGUACUCGAGUGGCACUGUCCAAACUGAGCAAUGACAGAUAAUAAAUAGAUGACAAAAGAAAUUGAAUAGACGUAAUGACUGAAGCAUGUCGUAGUGAGGUGACAAGCGACACUGUUCGAACCGAGAAAUAAAAGUUUAUACGUAAAUAGACAAAGAAAGAAAUUGAGUAAACGUAAUGACUGAGGCGUGUCAUGGUGAGGUGACAAGCGACACUGUUCGAAC
Long non-coding RNA from Eriocheir sinensis (Chinese mitten crab), 8239 nucleotides. RefSeq lists it as uncharacterized. The transcript is spliced from 2 exons. The record is from RefSeq and is a predicted model, not a curated record. NCBI's taxonomy places the organism in Eukaryota, Metazoa, Arthropoda, Malacostraca, Decapoda, Varunidae.